GGAGAGAUGGCCGAGUGGUUGAUAGCUCCGGUCUUGAAAACCGGUAUAGUUCGUCAAGAACUAUCGAGGGUUCGAAUCCCUCUCUCUCCU
RNAcentral lists this transfer RNA (90 nucleotides) under Euphorbia hypericifolia. Its description in RNAcentral is "tRNA-Ser". It matches the Rfam family "tRNA". From Rfam's summary of the family: Transfer RNA (tRNA) molecules are approximately 80 nucleotides in length. The record is from RNAcentral. RNAcentral also lists the same sequence under 1 other name. Lineage: Eukaryota; Viridiplantae; Streptophyta; Magnoliopsida; Malpighiales; Euphorbiaceae.